This 698-nucleotide ribosomal RNA is filed under the name uncultured bacterium. RNAcentral describes it as "bacterial SSU rRNA". It matches the Rfam family "Bacterial small subunit ribosomal RNA", at positions 371 to 1062 of the family's 1533-position model. The record is from RNAcentral.
AUGGGCGAAAGCCUGAUGCAGCCAUGCCGCGUGUAUGAAGAAGGCCUUCGGGUUGUAAAGUACUUUCAGUUGUGAGGAAGGGUGUGUAGUUAAUAGCUGCAUAUCUUGACGUUAGCAACAGAAGAAGCACCGGCUAACUCCGUGCCAGCAGCCGCGGUAAUACGGAGGGUGCGAGCGUUAAUCGGAAUUACUGGGCGUAAAGCGCAUGCAGGUGGUUCAUUAAGUCAGAUGUGAAAGCCCGGGGCUCAACCUCGGAACUGCAUUUGAAACUGGUGAACUAGAGUGCUGUAGAGGGGGGUAGAAUUUCAGGUGUAGCGGUGAAAUGCGUAGAGAUCUGAAGGAAUACCAGUGGCGAAGGCGGCCCCCUGGACAGACACUGACACUCAGAUGCGAAAGCGUGGGGAGCAAACAGGAUUAGAUACCCUGGUAGUCCACGCCGUAAACGAUGUCUACUUGGAGGUUGUGGCCUUGAGCCCGUGGCUUUCGGAGCUAACGCGUUAAGUAGACCGCCUGGGGAGUACGGUCGCAAGAUUAAAACUCAAAUGAAUUGACGGGGGCCCGCACAAGCGGUGGAGCAUGUGGUUUAAUUCGAUGCAACGCGAAGAACCUUACCUACUCUUUGCAUCCAGAAAAACCAGCGGAGACGCAGGUGUUGCUUUGGGAACUGUGGACAGGUGCUGAUGGCUGUCUCACUCUUG